This is a long non-coding RNA of Phyllostomus discolor (pale spear-nosed bat), 7425 nucleotides long. RefSeq lists it as uncharacterized. The record is from RefSeq and is a predicted model, not a curated record. The transcript has 2 exons. Lineage: Eukaryota; Metazoa; Chordata; Mammalia; Chiroptera; Phyllostomidae.
UUUUAUUUUUAUUUUGGGGUUAUGACAGUAUUAGAGACACACCCCAAGAGGACAUCUUUCUGAAUAAUUGCAUAUGAAUUGGGGUUGAAAUAGUUGCUAGGAAAAAAAAAGAUCUCAGCCAUCAAGAUGUGGAGAAGAGAAAGGUUAAUUCCUUUGGAACAGAGAUAGGAAUGCAGCUUACCACCAAUUCCCUCUUCAGUCCAACACCCAUGGUGCACACCAGUAGAAGAUCCUAGCCUUCUUCACCAAUGAACUAGACAAACCUUCAAAAGUGUUAUGAGCUGUAUCAGGUACCUGCAACCUAGAUUAUUUGCUUUGAGGGUCAUGGAGUUUGAAACUUACAUCAGAUUACACACUAUGUGAAGCUGUGGAGGGUUGCCAUUUUGUCCCUGCUUCGUGAACUCUAAUGCUCCUUUAUGGGAAUUCUUAGCUUAAUUCCGAGGCCACAAAUGAAAAACAAAGAGGGACAGUAUCUCCUUCCUUUCUCAAGCCUUAUUUCUUCAUGAAAUGAUCACACUUCGAAACAUGGUGAGCUCCGUCAUUUUCUUGGUUCUAAAAGGCUUAGCAGCAGCUGAAUAUCUGUUCUCUCUCUUAGUUCUGCCUGCUGUGGCCCUUUUCCAGAUAUUGCAUGGUGAGCUGUUACUCUACAAAUCCGGGGAUAAGAGGCAGUCCUAAUUCUUCCCUGUUAAAAAGAAAAAAACCAGACAAAACAAAACUCAUGUCAUACUCAUUUAAGUGAAAAGGGAGAAUUUACCCUGAAAAUAUUUUAUAAGUGCCGAGAGGAGGGAGAGCAGACACAGAGAAAUGCAACUGGGACCAGGAAUGGCAUCAGCAUCAUGGACAGCAAUCCACCCCUUUUUUUUUCCUGUGGUUAUGGCCAACUCUUCAGAUUUGUCCUCCUUUCCACUUUGCAUGUUGCACAUAAUCCUUCUGGAAUGCUCUCCCUAGAUCCUCACAUGGCUGGUUCCCUCAUGGUUAUAAAUUAUCUUAUUUUCUUUGUUUACUAAUUUACCAUAUGCCUCUGCCAUUAGAACCUAAGCUUCUGAGAGCACAGCCUUAUUUAGAGCAAUGCUUUAUAAAUAAUAGGCACAUAGAAAUACUUUUUUGAAUAUAUAAAAGUAUAAAUAAGAGAGUGGCGCCUCUAGUUCCAGAUUCCCUUGGAGAGACAAUUAAACUGGCCUAGCUAUGGUUGGUUUUCAACCCUCAUCCUAUUAGUUGAGGCACAGUGAGUAGAAUCACAUAGGCCAACCACUUUUUAUGGGUACCUGUGUCCGAGGGGAGACUGGCUGAUUUGGAAAGCCAUCAUAGACUAGGAAAUAUGUCUCCAAAUAACUACAAGUACCUUGUAUUUGUGACUUUACAGUAGAUGGUGAAGAUAGGGGUUGAUGUCCUUAACUUUGGCAGAGGAAACGGGUAGUUUUUCUGCUUCAAAUUUUGUUAUCAGCAGUCGAGGCCCACCGGGCACCAUGGAGUACCCUGAACCCAAAGCCGUUAUUUAUUUAUUUAUUGCUGUUAAAUAAUUAAAACUCCAUAGGUCAGUCCAAAAUUUAUCUACGAUGGAUGAUUUGUGAUUUCCCCUCCAUUUACCUAUUCUAUCGAUAUUUCUGAAUCAGGGGUGUGUGUGUGUGUGCGCGCCCGUGUGUUUUAUUUUCAGGUUCCCAAAAGUCUGUGUUAAGAAUCUCAUAGGGUCCUGAAGAAGAGCCAAAUAGUAAUCUCCAGGCAGAUAUUAUGGAAUAGCUGACUCACCCUGAAAACAAACUAGGGCUUAGAGUUGCUGUUAGAACAAAAUUAGUGAAGCCUGUGGAGAACUUUUCCUUGUCUUUCAGUUUUGUUCAGCAAGGAGAUACUUAUCAUCAAUUAUCAGGCAUGGUUUUAGAUGUGAAGAAUAUGGGUCUCUGCCCCCAUGGAACUGCCAUUCUAAUUUGAAUAGUAAUUGAAAAUAGAGAUUAAAUAAACCAGUAACAAGAGGACAGUGUUUCAGACGAGAUGGUAUCGUUAAGAAAAUGAAAUGGGAGGGCAUGAGCUGGAAUGGCGAGGGGUGAUUCAGAUGACUAGAGGUGGCAGGAAGCUUGGCAGGGCAGAGGAAGGCAGGGCCUGUAAAAGGGGCGUGUGAAAGAGGUCACUGGCAGGACAGGGCAUGCUGUGUUUGAAGAGCAGGAAAAAGGGCAGCACAUGGCUGGAAUGAGCUCCGAGGGCAAGAGGGAAAUAAGAAGUUUGAGGAAAAACUGAUCAAGGAACACUUCUUUGCUCAUGGUAAGGAGCUAGAAUUUUAGUCCCAGAGCAAUGGGGAGCCACUGCAGUGGCCUGACAGAGGGGUACAUCAUUCAAAUUACAAUUUAUAGGAAUUUGGUGGAGCGUGGACUGGAGAGGGGGAAAGUGGAAGAAGAGGAGGAAGCUAAGCAGUUUCCGCAGAAUCUGGGGGCGAGAUGACAACGAUGACCAUAUAUCCACCAACUCACCACAUGACAGAGGGCAUCUGUUCAUCUGCUUUGUAUGUAGGUUUUUACCUCCCCCAGUUACCCUCAAUCUAAGGCUGAAAAGUAAUCAAGUGAUUGAAAUAUGGCACUUCUAGUGUGCCUUUAGGACAAAGCUUGGUGAGUUAGCAAACAGUACUGUAACACAGAAUCCUAGAGGGGUUAAAAAAUACAGGUCUUGAUUAUAUGGGUACAUUUGAAGAAAUACGAAGUCACAUUAAGUUUGUGAAUUCUUGUGAAACUAUUUUUUUAACAAUUUUAAAAAAUGGAUAGCUAUAUAUAAAGUUUGAAUUUUUAGAGUCAAUAUAAAUUUGGUUCUGAAUUUCUGUGAAUCUGUCUGUCAACUCAGAAACGUAUUUCAGAUCCCUGACUUCUAAGUGUGUUAAGUGUGUGUGUAUAAGGGGAUACUCACUAACCACAGUGAUAAUGCUUACUCAUAAAUCUCAUCUGGUAAUAAGUAUGUUUACUUUGUGCCAAAUGUAUGCUUGAAACUUUAUAUACAUCAUCUCUUUGAAGAAUUACAAUGACUAGGUGACAAUAUGCAUAUUAAUGCCCUACACCUUGAAGAAGGAAAUUAAACCUUAAAUUAAAUAACAUGUUAGAAAUUGUGCAGUAAGUAGAGGAGUGUUCAUAGAGUUUAUCUCUAUCAAUUCACCUAACAAUUGGACAUUGUGGGAUAGUGUAUGGAAACACUUGGCAUAGCUUCGGUCAGCAUAGGUGUUUGAUAAGUUUCAUGCUGUAUAUCUCCCUAUAGAUUUCAAAUAUUUAUGACCACAGAAUUAUUUCUAAGGAAAGUAAAGGACUGCAGGAGGUCUUGGCAUGUAAUUUUUCCCCUAAUGAUUUCACUGCACCCUUGAGCAUUCCACAUGUGUAUUUAAUCACAGAAUCUCAGCCAUGAUAUUUCUGACAGGUAAUUUCCUUAAUGCAUUUGACAGAGAUGGAUUGCAUGGAAGUCCAUUGGAUUCUGUGCUUUUGUCUGCAAGUGAUAAGACGAGCUCAGAUCUAUCUGAGUCUAGUGCCGCCAAUGAUAUUGCAUCCUAAUAAUUCCCAUGAUAAUAUGGAUCAUCUUUGUGGACAUACACAAUUCUUGGCCAGAUGGAAUACACCAGUUUUCAAGGCACCCUGCCACUUUUAUUACACCUUGAGAAACAUCUAGGCUGAUAUUUGUGUGUCAGAAUCAUAAACCAAUUUAGUCCUCAGAGAUAGGCCUAGUUGUGCAAUUUAUCUUCAAAUACCCUUGUUUUUUUUUUUCUUUUCCCUGCUACAACUGAAAGUGUUGAAUGAUGAACACGAAUGCCAAGAUAUUGGAUUCCUUUUUAGAUUGUAAUGUAUUAACACUGGCAUGUGACAACCUGAGCAUCACUGCGACUCACUGAUACUUGGUGAGCAACAGUGAUAUGGGCUUUUUGCCAUUUCACCCCUAGGACUAAUAAUCCCAAUCCACUCAAGCAAAGGUACAAAUGCCUCUCAGUGGGGACUCCCUUCCUGACCUUUUUGUCCUCCCCUCCACUGAGCAUCAGCCUUUAGUCCUUAUGGUUUGUUGGUGUGCUAGUAUAGAUCAAAGGGUGCAGAGAGUCAGGUCAGAGGUCUUUGAUGCCCCUGGGAAACACAAAUGCUGCUAUUUCACAGAUGUCCUUCAGGCUAAUCAUGUCAUUUGCGCUCAGCAGGCACAUUCCUGGAUAGCAUCAUGGUACACUGAAAAGAGAGAUUUUGUUGUUGCAAUCUAGUACUAGUCUCUUACACUGGACCACCUGGACCCUCCUAUGUGCUUACAGAUUUGCUGAGAAAAAAUGUCUGGUUCCCUUUAAAAACUAAUUUUAUUUUGAGAAACUGCCAUGCAUUUAGAAAAAGAGAAAGUAAUACAAUGAAUGCCAUACACCCACUGUUGGGAUUUAAUAAUUGUGCAGAUAUGCAAAACCACUUUAAAGAAAGUUUUCAGACAUCACAAAAUGUACUUUUAAAUACAUAAGGUUGUAUCUGUAAAAAGAAGUAUGAUAUUUUAUAAAACUAUGAUAUCAUUAUUGCAACUAAUAGCAUUAACUUAAAUUCAUCCUAUCAUCAAAUAGUCUAUAUUCACAUGUACUCAGUAGUCCCAAUAAUAUCUCUUACAACUUAUUUUCAAAAUAUAGCUCUUAAGUCACUUUGAGCUACUGAAAUUAUAUGUAAGGAGAGGAGAAUGUGUGGCAUGAUAUAGUAUAUAAGUAUUUAAAAUAUUUUUUACAGUGAAUCUAUUCUUCCUUGCUUGGUCCUCCUAAGAGAUUAUCAAUCACUUAAAAAUCACAUGAAGUCUUAAAAAGGAGUAUACAUAUAAUAUGUUGCUAUGGGAAGGCUCUUUUAAAAUUAUGGAAACAAAUAUAGUUCCCUAUAAAAUAUCAUUUAUCAACAUUUUUCCUAAUGGUGAAAAACUGGAUACAACCUAAAUCUCUGACACAAAGAAUUAGCUAAUUUAUGGUGGUCAUAUUGGAAAAUGCUCACAAUAUAUUGUCAAGUAAACAAAGCAGAUUUCAAAACUACAUGGGCAGAAUCACAGCUCUCUAAGAAUUAGCUCACAGCCAGACAAAAAUGUUAAAAAUAUAUUUUUGAUGUGUUAACCAUAGUUAGUUCUAGAUAGUGGGAUUAUAGUUCAUUUUAUUUCAUUUUACUUUUCAAAAAUUGCUUACAUUUUUUGCAUGAAUUGUGGAAUAUUUUGGUGAUUAAAUUAAAUGAACCUGAUGAAUCAGCCAACUUGGCAAAGAGAUAUAUUGUCUAGUUGGAAAGGAAACCAGAAGCAUAAAUGAGAAGGAAUGGAACACCCUCAUGCUCAUGUACUCAGCGUAGGUUCCUUGGAACAGACCAUGGCUGCAACGCUGCAGAAGGUAACAGCUUCCUGCUGAAAUGAAGAAGCCAUAGGAUGUCUCUCAGUGUUUGCUCUGGCUUCAUAAGUCUUUCAUUGAAAUGCUCUGGUAUUUGUCACAGUAAGGUUUUAUUAAAAACCCUAAAAUUGGAAUUUACAUUGCAAUUAGUUUCAUAAUGACAUUUUGAGGGAGCUUUUAACUGCAUGUCACAGAGGUCUGAUAUGGACCCUAACUGAAACUAUGCAGAAAGGAAAUGUUUUCCUCAAUUGCUAUUUAUACUGUAAGCAAAUAAGAUCAGGUAUGCUGCAGUGAUAAACAUUGGUUCAUCAUACCGCUUUUGGUAUUGUUAUCCUGAGUUGACUAUGUCCUCAUUUAUUUGGGGUUCUAAUGCAGAUUAGACAUGUCUCAUGAUUAUAGAAAGUAUGGCCAUUGAACUGACUUAAAAAUUCAAAUUUCAGAGAUUGAUGAGCCUUCAGAGAAAUGGUGGACACAGAGUGUAGACAUCACUAGGCAGUUAGGGGUUGGAGGAAGUUCUUUGACACUGUGAAACCCAUACCUGAAGCAUGGGAAAUGGGAUAAACCCUCUAAUGAAAGGUUGGCCAGAGGCAGGUCAAAACUUUAGGACACUAGAUGAGAAGGUCGAGUGAUAUCUAGUUAAUGAAGCCUGAGGAGAUAUCUCCAUAAGGACCCUGCUAUAAAGAUUCACACUGAUUCAGUUAAUUACCUCACAUCUGAGAAUGCAUUGUUCUAACUCCAAAACACACACACACACACACCCUGUAGGGCAUAAGCCACUCUGUGAGGCAUAUUUAUAUCAAUUAGCCUUUCAUUAGAAGAAUAGCACUCUAUAUAGGUUGUGAAUUACUGAGGAGGUCUAGGUCAGCAGUUCCCACAGUUCCCAGAUACCUCCAAGCAAUUGCCUGCAUAACUUCUCCAAUACAUCUGGUGAAUAAAAUUUCAUUUCUUUUAUCCAGAUUUCUGGAAGAAUCUGUUCUAGCUGGUCUGUACUCUGAUCACCUGUACAUCUGGAAUGGCCCCAAAACAAAAAAGGGGAAAAAAGUAUUAGUGUCCUCAAUGAAAUAGAAGACCAUUGGUCAAGAUAUCAAUUACUAUCUCAAAUGCAGAAUUCUCUGUUGAGUAAUGACAAAAAUCCCAGGACUUCUUAGAAGGCCACUAAGGAACAGAAAACCGUUGAUGAAUUAAUGUGCUUAGCACAAUGAACUUUAAAUAAAUCUAAAAUAUUUUUUUUAACUUAAAAGGUCCUGCAGCCAAAGUCAAGUUCUCUCAUUUUGUGGUAUAUAGGCAUUGAUGCUUCUCACUCUUCAAUACAUUCCCAAGAGAUUUUGACCUCUCAGGCAGGCACUUUUUUUUUUCUGAAUGAUACUCAGAUCUCUAGAAGGUGAACUAAAGGGGAGAUAGGAGGUGAUGUAAGUUAGAAUGGAAAACUGAGAAUGUUGAGCAUAUGGAGCGGCACAGCUGCCCAGAAAUCACACUAGGUGAAGUACCCCAACACCACAUGGAAUGGGAAUGGCAUUCUCUGGCCUCUGUGGUUCUAACUGGGUACAGCAAGUUGUUCAUUGAGCAUAUAGAGUUUCUCAUUCUCACUCUAUCACUAAUUUGCUUUAAGAGUUAAAACAGACUUGUCUAAACACAUGCACAUACUAAAGGAGGUUUGGUUAUACUUCAGAGGAUGCUAACCAUUCGGGGAAUCAUGAAAAAAAGCUUUUUUGAAUAAAUAAAAAUUAAAAAGAAAUUCCCAGGCUUUUCUCCAGUCUUCUCAAGUAGAACCUGGAGAAACAAGCCCAGGAAUGUACAUUGCAUGUCCCACUCAUGUAGGAUCCCGAUGAUCUGUCCAGUCUGGGAAUUUAUGAGGUAUGAAUGUGAUAUGAUUAGAACACUGUGUAACUGCGAUUUGUGACCCAGAGGAAAAUCAGUCUUAAUUCUUUGCCAUCAUACUUACUGUUUAGAGUCUGUGCUCUCUUCCUAAGGAAACCACACUCUGCCCCUCCCAUUCUUUAAUAUGGAACUUUGUCAUAAGAAUAGAUAUCCUCAGUCUUUAAUAUUUGAUUGAAGAAGUAAUUUCAGUCAUGGUACAUCAGAAAGCUGCUCUUUUCCUU